CAGCCGCCGCGGGAAUACGAAGGGGGCUAGCGUUGCUCGGAAUUACUGGGCGUAAAGGGCGCGUAGGCGGACAGUUAAGUCGGGGGUGAAAGCCCGGGGCUCAACCUCGGAAUUGCCUUCGAAACUGGCUGUCUUGAGUACGGGAGAGGUGAGUGGAACUCCGAGUGUAGAGGUGAAAUUCGUAGAUAUUCGGAAGAACACCAGUGGCGAAGGCGACUCACUGGCCCGUUACUGACGCUGAGGCGCGAAAGCGUGGGGAGCAAACAGGAUUAGAUACCCCAGUAGUCCCUGUCUCUUAUAC
Molecule: ribosomal RNA, 301 nt
Filed under: uncultured bacterium
Lineage: Bacteria
Description: partial 16S ribosomal RNA
Rfam family: Bacterial small subunit ribosomal RNA
Source: RNAcentral